AGUAGUUUGAUCCUGGCUACAGAACGAACGCUGGCGGCAGGCCUAACACAUGCAAGUCGAGCGCCCUUUCGGGGGAGCGGCGGACGGGUGAGUAACGCGUGGGAAUAUGCCCUUCUCUACGGAAUAGCCUCGGGAAACUGAGAGUAAUACCGUAUACGCCCUUAGGGGGAAAGAUUUAUCGGGGAAGGAUUAGCCCGCGUUGGAUUAGGUAGUUGGUGGGGUAAUGGCCUACCAAGCCGACGAUCCAUAGCUGGUUUGAGAGGAUGAUCAGCCACACUGGGACUGAGACACGGCCCAGACUCCUACGGGAGGCAGCAGUGGGGAAUCUUAGACAAUGGGGGCAACCCUGAUCUAGCCAUGCCGCGUGAGUGAUGAAGGCCUUAGGGUUGUAAAGCUCUUUCAGCUGGGAAGAUAAUGACGGUACCAGCAGAAGAAGCCCCGGCUAACUCCGCG
This 453-nucleotide ribosomal RNA is filed under the name uncultured Paracoccus sp. RNAcentral describes it as "bacterial SSU rRNA". It matches the Rfam family "Bacterial small subunit ribosomal RNA", at positions 1 to 507 of the family's 1533-position model. The record is from RNAcentral. Lineage: Bacteria; Pseudomonadati; Pseudomonadota; Alphaproteobacteria; Rhodobacterales; Paracoccaceae.